AAGCGUUAUUCAGUAUGAUUGGGGGUAAAGAGUGCGUAGAGUACUUUACAAGUUUAGUUGAAAAUACCGGAUUUAUAGUUUGGAAGAAACUAAAGACUGUAUUGUUUGAGUCAAAUGGGCGGUGGGAAAACUUCUGGAGUAGCGCUUAAAUGUGUUGAUACCUGAAAGAAGACCGAAUGGCGAAGGCGCCUGCCGAAGUUUGUACUGACCUUGAGGUGACGAAGGCGCGGGGAUCAAACGGG
This 242-nucleotide ribosomal RNA is filed under the name uncultured bacterium. Its description in RNAcentral is "partial 16S ribosomal RNA". It matches the Rfam family "Bacterial small subunit ribosomal RNA", at positions 536 to 776 of the family's 1533-position model. The record is from RNAcentral.